UACGUAGGGUGCAAGCGUUGUCCGGAAUUAUUGGGCGUAAAGAGCUCGUAGGCGGUUUGUUGCGUCGGCUGUGAAAACCUGAGGCUCAACCUCAGGCCUGCAGUCGAUACGAGCAGACUAGAGUGUUGCAGGGGAGACUGGAAUUCCUGGUGUAGCGGUGAAAUGCGCAGAUAUCAGGAGGAACACCGGUGGCGAAGGCGGGUCUCUGGGCCGAUACUGACGUGAGGAGCGAAAGCGUGGGGAGCGAACAGG
RNAcentral lists this ribosomal RNA (252 nucleotides) under uncultured bacterium. RNAcentral's name for it is "partial 16S ribosomal RNA". It matches the Rfam family "Bacterial small subunit ribosomal RNA", at positions 524 to 776 of the family's 1533-position model. The record is from RNAcentral.